This is a small nuclear RNA of Rhopalosiphum maidis (corn leaf aphid), 140 nucleotides long. RefSeq annotates it as U4 spliceosomal RNA. NCBI's taxonomy places the organism in Eukaryota, Metazoa, Arthropoda, Insecta, Hemiptera, Aphididae. The transcript has a single exon. The record is from RefSeq and is a predicted model, not a curated record.
AGCUUUGCGCAGUGGCGAUAUCGUAACCGAUGAGGUUUAACCGAGGUGCGAUUAUUGCUAGUUGAAAACUUUAACCAAUACCCCGCCGUGUGGACAUGAAACACUGUCCGCGCAGGCAAUCUUUGAAGGCCCUAACGGGC